Molecule: transfer RNA, 92 nt
Filed under: Biscogniauxia mediterranea
Lineage: Eukaryota; Fungi; Ascomycota; Sordariomycetes; Xylariales; Xylariaceae
Description: tRNA-Phe
Rfam family: tRNA
About the family: Transfer RNA (tRNA) molecules are approximately 80 nucleotides in length. Their secondary structure includes four short double-helical elements and three loops (D, anti-codon, and T loops).
Source: RNAcentral
GCGGGGAUAGUUCAGUUGGGAGAACGUCAGACUGAAGUAUAACUUCAUUAUUGUUAAUCUGAAGGUCGUGCGUUCGAUCCGCACUCACCGCA